GACGAACGCUGGCGGCGUGCUUAACACAUGCAAGUCGAACGGAAAGGCCCUGCUUUUGUGGGGUGCUCGAGUGGCGAACGGGUGAGUAACACGUGAGUAACCUGCCCUUGACUUUGGGAUAACUUCAGGAAACUGGGGCUAAUACCGGAUAGGAGCUCCUGCUGCAUGGUGGGGGUUGGAAAGUUUCGGCGGUUGGGGAUGGACUCGCGGCUUAUCAGCUUGUUGGUGGGGUAGUGGCUUACCAAGGCUUUGACGGGUAGCCGGCCUGAGAGGGUGACCGGCCACAUUGGGACUGAGAUACGGCCCAGACUCCUACGGGAGGCAGCCGUGGGGAAUAUUGCACAAUGGGCGGAAGCCUGAUGCAGCAACGCCGCGUGCGGGAUGACGGCCUUCGGGUUGUAAACCGCUUUCGCCUGUGACGAAGCGUGCGUGACGGUAAUGGGUAAAGAAGCACCGGCUAACUACGUG
Molecule: ribosomal RNA, 468 nt
Filed under: uncultured bacterium
Lineage: Bacteria
Description: partial 16S ribosomal RNA
Rfam family: Bacterial small subunit ribosomal RNA
Source: RNAcentral